UUUAUUGGAGAGUUUGAUCCUGGCUCAGGAUGAACGCUGGCGGCGUGCCUAAUACAUGCAAGUCGAGCGAAUGGAUUAAGAGCUUGCUCUUAUGAAGUUAGCGGCGGACGGGUGAGUAACACGUGGGUAACCUGCCCAUAAGACUGGGAUAACUCCGGGAAACCGGGGCUAAUACCGGAUAAUAUUUUGAACUGCAUGGUUCGAAAUUGAAAGGCGGCUUCGGCUGUCACUUAUGGAUGGACCCGCGUCGCAUUAGCUAGUUGGUGAGGUAACGGCUCACCAAGGCAACGAUGCGUAGCCGACCUGAGAGGGUGAUCGGC
RNAcentral lists this ribosomal RNA (320 nucleotides) under Bacillus sp. B1-WWTP-T-0.5-Post-4. Its description in RNAcentral is "bacterial SSU rRNA". It matches the Rfam family "Bacterial small subunit ribosomal RNA", at positions 1 to 308 of the family's 1533-position model. The record is from RNAcentral. Lineage: Bacteria; Bacillati; Bacillota; Bacilli; Caryophanales; Bacillaceae.